UAGGCUUGACAUAUACAGGACGACGGCAGAGAUGUCGUUUCCCUUGUGGCUUGUAUACAGGUGGUGCAUGGUUGUCGUCAGCUCGUGUCGUGAGAUGUUGGGUUAAGUCCCGCAACGAGCGCAACCCCUGUCUCAUGUUGCCAGCACGUUAUGGUGGGGACUCGUGAGAAACUGCCGGGGUCAACUCGGAGGAAGGUGGGGAUGACGUCAAAUCAUCAUGCCCCUUAUGUCUAGGGCUUCACACAUGCUACAAUGGCUAGUACAGAGGGCUGCGAUACCGUGAGGUGGAGCGAAUCCCUUAAAGCUGGUCUCAGUUCGGAUUGGGGUCUGCAACUCGACCCCAUGAAGUCGGAGUCGCUAGUAAUCGCAGAUCAGCAUUGCUGCGGUGAAUACGUUCCCGGGCC
This 404-nucleotide ribosomal RNA is filed under the name uncultured bacterium. RNAcentral's name for it is "bacterial SSU rRNA". It matches the Rfam family "Bacterial small subunit ribosomal RNA", at positions 976 to 1380 of the family's 1533-position model. The record is from RNAcentral.